RNAcentral lists this ribosomal RNA (440 nucleotides) under uncultured bacterium. RNAcentral describes it as "bacterial SSU rRNA". It matches the Rfam family "Bacterial small subunit ribosomal RNA", at positions 28 to 457 of the family's 1533-position model. The record is from RNAcentral.
GAUGAACGCUAGCUACAGGCUUAACACAUGCAAGUCGAGGGGUAUCAGUUUGGUUUGCUUGCAAACCAAAGCUGGCGACCGGCGCACGGGUGAGUAAUACGUAUCCAACCUGCCUCAUACUCGGGGAUAGCCUUUCGAAAGAAAGAUUAAUAUCCGAUAGCAUAUAUUUCCCGCAUGGGUUUUAUAUUAAAGAAAUUCGGUAUGAGAUGGGGAUGCGUUCCAUUAGUUUGUUGGCGGGGUAACGGCCCACCAAGACUACGAUGGAUAGGGGUUCUGAGAGGAAGGUCCCCCACAUUGGAACUGAGACACGGUCCAAACUCCUACGGGAGGCAGCAGUGAGGAAUAUUGGUCAAUGGACGCGAGUCUGAACCAGCCAAGUAGCGUGAAGGAUGACUGCCCUAUGGGUUGUAAACUUCUUUUAUAUGGGAAUAAAGUGGUCC